UCCUGAGUAGCUCAGUUGGUUAGAGCAUCUGACUGUUAAUCAGAGGGUCGUAGGUUCAAGUCCUACCUCAGGAG
This 74-nucleotide transfer RNA is filed under the name Bacteroidota bacterium. RNAcentral describes it as "Bacteroidetes bacterium (activated sludge metagenome) tRNA-Asn". It matches the Rfam family "tRNA". Rfam says of the family: Transfer RNA (tRNA) molecules are approximately 80 nucleotides in length. Their secondary structure includes four short double-helical elements and three loops (D, anti-codon, and T loops). The record is from RNAcentral. Lineage: Bacteria; Pseudomonadati; Bacteroidota. RNAcentral also lists the same sequence under 7 other names.